This 71-nucleotide transfer RNA is filed under the name Ictidomys tridecemlineatus (thirteen-lined ground squirrel). RNAcentral's name for it is "Spermophilus tridecemlineatus (thirteen-lined ground squirrel) tRNA". It matches the Rfam family "tRNA". From Rfam's summary of the family: Transfer RNA (tRNA) molecules are approximately 80 nucleotides in length. Their secondary structure includes four short double-helical elements and three loops (D, anti-codon, and T loops). Lineage: Eukaryota; Metazoa; Chordata; Mammalia; Rodentia; Sciuridae. The record is from Rfam by way of RNAcentral.
GGGGUUGUGGCUCAGUGGUAGAGCACUUGCCUAGCACGUGUGAGGCACUGGGUUCGAUCCUUAGCACCUCA